AGUCCAAGACCACUGCUUCCAUGCAACUAUGGGGUCUCUACAAACAUUUUGCCACUCAAUCUAUUUGUUGAGAGAUCCGCUUGCUUAAAGCUUCCAAAUACUGAUUCCCAAUUGCUUGAGUCAAUUCCUGCACAGCCUAUGUCACCAACUCAAAACCAAAGAAUCAUUUUGGUUUCUUUCUUUAAGGCCUUGCUCAUGCGGUUCCUCUGCUGCCUCAAUAAAUAGAUCAAAUCAAACAACUUGACAAUAUAAUAUAUAUAUAUACCCACAAUAGAGCUACAUGCUUAUAAAGGAAAAGGACAACAAAAGUACAGCUGGCAAAGAUCAUCAAUAUUCUCAUAAAUCUAAAUGCAGAGAUAACAUGAAGGCUCAAGAUGUUAUAUAACCUAAGACAUCACAUCCGAAAUGAAAACUAUAAUCUAUAAAUCCUUUAUAUUUCCAAAUGGUAAAUGUCUUUCCAUUGAUUAAAAAGCUAGUAUUGCACAUAUGUCAUCCCUUCUUCUAAAAUAACUAACAGCAAAAAUGCAAGUAAAAUAACAGUAGCAUAUGUUUUUCUCCUCUCUCAACACACCUGUCACCUUACAAAAUCACUAACUUCACCAAAUUUUAAGUAUAUAUAUAUAUAUAUUGACAAAAUCACGCCUGUCAAAAAAGGGAAUUCGUCUAUGAAUGAAAGUAUUAAGCGCAUACUAAGAGCGGAACGCCCUGAAAGACAAAAACCCGCUCAAACUCCUAGAAGCACAGUGGAUCAAGCAACUAAAAUCCACGAGCGACUCACCGAAUCCUUCACUCAUAGUGAAAGGGGAAUACUGGUACAGAAAGUGUAAUCAAUUCGGAAAAUAAGAGCUAUAAAAGCAAAGUCUCAAGUUUAAGCAAAAGAAAAAGCAGAAAAGAGAACAAGAUAGCGAAUACAAAAUUCUGAGACCUGCCCUCGCUCUCUCUCUCUCUUUUUCUCUCAAACAGUAAA
Molecule: unclassified non-coding RNA, 967 nt
Filed under: Hevea brasiliensis (rubber tree)
Lineage: Eukaryota; Viridiplantae; Streptophyta; Magnoliopsida; Malpighiales; Euphorbiaceae
Source: RNAcentral